Molecule: non-coding RNA, 114 nt
Organism: Chelonoidis abingdonii (Abingdon island giant tortoise)
Lineage: Eukaryota; Metazoa; Chordata; Testudines; Testudinidae
Source: RefSeq, a predicted model, not a curated record
CCCCAGGGCAGGGACUGGCUGGCUCAGGGGGGCAGGGAAUGGGGCAGGGGCCUGUCCCCUCUAGGGGGCACCAGCCCUGAUCCAGCCCCAGGCCAGGGGACUGGCUGGCCAGGG